This is a ribosomal RNA of Labrus bergylta (ballan wrasse), 118 nucleotides long. Lineage: Eukaryota; Metazoa; Chordata; Actinopteri; Labriformes; Labridae. The record is from Ensembl.
GCUUACGGCCAUACCACCCUGAACAGCCCGAUCUCGUCCGAUCUCGGAAGCUAAGCAGGGUCGGGCCUGGUUAGUACUUGGAUGGGAGACCGCCUGGGAAUACCAGGUGCUGUAAGCU